RNAcentral lists this ribosomal RNA (245 nucleotides) under uncultured bacterium. Its description in RNAcentral is "partial 16S ribosomal RNA". It matches the Rfam family "Bacterial small subunit ribosomal RNA", at positions 15 to 252 of the family's 1533-position model. The record is from RNAcentral.
GAUCCUGGCUCAGGAUGAACGCUAGCUACAGGCUUAACACAUGCAAGUCGAGGGGCAGCAUGGUCUUAGCUUGCUAAGGCCGAUGGCGACCGGCGCACGGGUGAGUAACACGUAUCCAACCUGCCGAUAACUCGGGGAUAGCCUUUCGAAAGAAAGAUUAAUACCCGAUGGCAUAAUUAGACCGCAUGGUCUUAUUAUUAAAGAAUUUCGGUUAUCGAUGGGGAUGCGUUCCAUUAGGCAGUUGG